AUUGAACGCUGGCGGAAUGCUUUACACAUGCAAGUCGAACGGCAGCACGGGAGCUUGCUCCUGGUGGCGAGUGGCGAACGGGUGAGUAACAUAUCGGAACGUACCCAGUCGUGGGGGAUAACUAUCCGAAAGGAUAGCUAAUACCGCAUACGUCCUGAGGGAGAAAGCGGGGGAUCGCAAGACCUCGCGCGAUUGGAGCGGCCGAUACCGGAUUAGCUAGUUGGUGGGGUAAAGGCUCACCAAGGCGACGAUCCGUAGCGGGUCUGAGAGGACGACCCGCCACACUGGAACUGAGACACGGUCCAGACUCCUACGGGAGGCAGCAGUGGGGAAUUUUGGACAAUGGGGGCAACCCUGAUCCAGCCAUUCCGCGUGAGUGAAGAAGGCCUUCGGGUUGUAAAGCUCUUUCAGCAGGAACGAAACGGUCGGCUUUAAUAAAGUCGGCUAAUGACGGUACCUGCAGAAGAAGCACCGGCUAACUACGUG
This 486-nucleotide ribosomal RNA is filed under the name uncultured bacterium. Its description in RNAcentral is "partial 16S ribosomal RNA". It matches the Rfam family "Bacterial small subunit ribosomal RNA", at positions 30 to 507 of the family's 1533-position model. The record is from RNAcentral.